UUUUGGGGUGAGAAAGUGGUUUAACAUUCUGUGGUGCAUCUUUCUUUUUUGCAGGUGAUGAGGGACCUGCUGACUGUGGGACUCGUGGAGUUGAUGAACUGUGGAGCUUUCUUUAAAGGAGGAUGUCCUGAGACCUGUGGCCCCUGAAAGCUAAAUGCAGGGAGAGGAGCCACGCAGCAGAGGGUGAUGGAGGAGAGGAGCAGAGCGCGGUGAGGAGCUGGGUCGGUGCGUAUUGAAGAGUCUGGGUGAGUUGUCCCCUGGGUUGUGAGGGAAGGUGUGACUGGUGCCUCUAUCGACUGGCUCAUGGUUUGGGUUUGUUUUGUAGGUGCAAAGCACCAAGGGAAGCGGGAGAUCUGCACUGGAGGUGACUCGAGCAAGGCAGCACACAGGGCUGGACGUGGCACCCUGUGACCAUCAGAGGCCGGACAGGUGAGCCACGAAGUUUUGCAGCCUUGGAGCAGUGGAGCAGCAUGCCAACGGGCCAUCUGUGGAGAUGACACAGGUGUCAGCCAGAUGCCACAAGCAAGGAUGGCCUCAGCAUCUGAUUCUGGAACCAGCAGAUCACUAUGAGGAGCCUGGCGAUGGCAGGAACAUCCCAGCGAGAACGGCUUGUCGAGGAGGAAGGCUGCGGAGCCCUGGCCAUCUGAAAGCUAAGUGGAGGGGCUGGGAGGAGGGGA
This is a long non-coding RNA of Apus apus (common swift), 677 nucleotides long. RefSeq lists it as uncharacterized. The transcript has 6 exons. The record is from RefSeq and is a predicted model, not a curated record. Lineage: Eukaryota; Metazoa; Chordata; Aves; Apodiformes; Apodidae.